GGCAGCCAAGCGUUCAUAGCGA
This 22-nucleotide small nuclear RNA is filed under the name Arabidopsis thaliana (thale cress). Its description in RNAcentral is "snRNA_12637". The record is from RNAcentral. Lineage: Eukaryota; Viridiplantae; Streptophyta; Magnoliopsida; Brassicales; Brassicaceae.